AUAACUUAAUGAUGAACAAUAACUUUCGCCCCUAACUGAAAACUAAUUUCAUGUUGAAUGCGAUUUGAUUGGUCUUACUGAGUUAAUAUU
This 90-nucleotide small nucleolar RNA is filed under the name Ceratitis capitata (Mediterranean fruit fly). Its description in RNAcentral is "small nucleolar RNA Me28S-Gm1083". It matches the Rfam family "Small nucleolar RNA Me28S-Gm1083". From Rfam's summary of the family: Me28S-Gm1083 is a member of the C/D class of snoRNA which contain the C (UGAUGA) and D (CUGA) box motifs. This family directs 2'-O-methylation of 28S G-1083. Lineage: Eukaryota; Metazoa; Arthropoda; Insecta; Diptera; Tephritidae. The record is from Rfam by way of RNAcentral.